GAAAGCCCUUUUGGAUGGCGCCCGUCUUAAUUUGCAGUGACGCACGGCUGAGUAACACGUGACUGACCUACCCCGAAGUUCUGAAUAACCUGGCGAAAGUCGGGCUAAUACAGGAUGUGCAGUAUCGCUGUGGCGAUGCUGCAAAGAUUUAUCGCUUUGGGAUGGGGUUGCGUUCCAUCAGCUAGUUGGUAGGGUAAAGGCCUACCAAGGCGACGACGGAUAGCCGGCCUGAGAGGGUGGCCGGCCACAGGGGCACUGAGACACGGGUCCCACUCCUACGGGAGGCAGCAGUUAGGAAUCUUCCACAAUGGGCGAAAGCCUGAUGGAGCGACCCGCGUGAGGGAUGACGGUCUUCGGAUUGUAAACCUCUGAACUAGGGACGAAAGACGCUUUAUGGGAAUGAACGUACCUAUGGUAAUAUACACCGGGUAACUCUUGUGCCAACAGCCGCGGGAAUAUAGGAGGGUGCGAGCGUUUCCCGGAAUUCUGUGGCGUUAAGAGCGUGUUGGCGGCUUGUUAUAUCUGCUCUUUUAAACACGAAAUCAACUGUGGGAGAGGACUGUGUAUUUGUAACUUGAACUCUGGAGAGAGAACUGGGAUUUUUUGUGUGCGGGGGGAACAUGGUUUUACGUUCACUUUUACACAAUACUUGUAUUAUUAUUCCGUGCCU
This 670-nucleotide ribosomal RNA is filed under the name Deinococcus sp. iso 15. Its description in RNAcentral is "bacterial SSU rRNA". It matches the Rfam family "Bacterial small subunit ribosomal RNA", at positions 64 to 691 of the family's 1533-position model. The record is from RNAcentral. Lineage: Bacteria; Thermotogati; Deinococcota; Deinococci; Deinococcales; Deinococcaceae.